RNAcentral lists this ribosomal RNA (486 nucleotides) under uncultured bacterium. RNAcentral describes it as "partial 16S ribosomal RNA". It matches the Rfam family "Bacterial small subunit ribosomal RNA", at positions 30 to 507 of the family's 1533-position model. The record is from RNAcentral.
AUUGAACGCUGGCGGCAUGCCUUACACAUGCAAGUCGAACGGCAGCACGGGUGCUUGCACCUGGUGGCGAGUGGCGAACGGGUGAGUAAUACAUCGGAACAUGUCCUGUAGUGGGGGAUAGCCCGGCGAAAGCCGGAUUAAUACCGCAUACGAUCUACGGAUGAAAGCGGGGGCCCUUCGGGCCUCGCGCUAUAGGGUUGGCCGAUGUCUGAUUAGCUAGUUGGUGGGGUAAAGGCCUACCAAGGCGACGAUCAGUAGAUGGUCUGAGAGGACGACCAGCCACACUGGGACUGAGACACGGCCCAGACUCCUACGGGAGGCAGCAGUGGGGAAUUUUGGACAAUGGGCGAAAGCCUGAUCCAGCAAUGCCGCGUGUGUGAAGAAGGCCUUCGGGUUGUAAAGCACUUUUGUCCGGAAAGAAAUCCUUGGCUCUAAUACAGUCGGGGGAUGACGGUACCGGAAGAAUAAGCACCGGCUAACUACGUG